UUACGGCUUCAAGACAUUAACAAGCCGCGUCGAAUGACACCUCAACGAUCAAAAUCGGUUCAUCCGUUCAAGAGUUAUGAAUAUUUACAUACAUACAUACGUACGUACGUACGUACGUACGUACACACAUACAUACACUCGGACAUCAUCGUGAAAUUAGUCAGGAUAGCUUCCUAGGACCUCGAAACGUCGACAUCUGAUGGAAAUUCGAUUUUCGUAAAUCGGACCGAAACCAAUAACUUCCCGAAUUUUUGAAAAUUUACAAUUUUCUUAGCGGGAAGUUAAAAAAAUGUCGAAAAUAAUUUUAUUAUUAUCAAUUUUUGCAAUGAUUGGUCUCUAUGCUGGUGCAGAUGCGGCAUGUCCAGGCGGCUGGGUGAGUGAUUACCAUAACACAGCGAAAAACUAAAGCAAUGAAUGGUCCUGCGGGCGAACCCUAAAACUUCCCACUGUUUUUGAACUUCGAGAGCUCGAAUACAUUAUUAUAUUAGUAAACUGAUCAGCUCAUCGAGCUGAAAAUACGGCUGCUAAGGACUGGUUUUUCUGGAGAUUUUUAUUUCCCAUAAUGCCAUCCAUCACAAGGUUAUGGCUGUUGUGAAGGAAAUGUAUGUGAUUCGUAUUUGUUUCAAGGUACGUGCAUAACUCAAGUGGAACACGUAGCUCGAGCUAAUGCAUUGGGAAAAUAAUUAUAAUAAUAGAGUGAAAAUUUAAAGAUGUAUUUUUCCAAUUAAUAAAAC
This is a long non-coding RNA of Microplitis mediator, 734 nucleotides long. RefSeq lists it as uncharacterized. The transcript has 3 exons. The record is from RefSeq and is a predicted model, not a curated record. NCBI's taxonomy places the organism in Eukaryota, Metazoa, Arthropoda, Insecta, Hymenoptera, Braconidae.